RNAcentral lists this ribosomal RNA (471 nucleotides) under uncultured Clostridiaceae bacterium. Its description in RNAcentral is "bacterial SSU rRNA". It matches the Rfam family "Bacterial small subunit ribosomal RNA", at positions 8 to 466 of the family's 1533-position model. Lineage: Bacteria; Bacillati; Bacillota; Clostridia; Eubacteriales; Clostridiaceae. The record is from RNAcentral.
AGAGUUUGAUCAUGGCUCAGGACGAACGCCGGCGGCGUGCCUAACACAUGCAAGUCGAGCGAUGAAACCCUUCGGGGUGGAUUAGCGGCGGACGGGUGAGUAACACGUGGGUAACCUGCCUCAAAGAGGGGAAUAGCCUCCCGAAAGGGAGAUUAAUACCGCAUAAUAUGUUUUGAUCGCAUGAUCGAGACAUCAAAGGAUUUUCUUCGGAAAUUCCACUUUGAGAUGGACCCGCGGCGCAUUAGCUAGUUGGUGAGGUAACGGCCCACCAAGGCAACGAUGCGUAGCCGACCUGAGAGGGUGAUCGGCCACAUUGGAACUGAGACACGGUCCAGACUCCUACGGGAGGCAGCAGUGGGGAAUAUUGCGCAAUGGGGGAAACCCUGACGCAGCAACGCCGCGUGAAUGAUGAAGGCCUUCGGGUUGUAAAGUUCUGUCUUCUGGGACGAUAAUGACGUACCAGAGUAGAGC